Molecule: non-coding RNA, 81 nt
Organism: Podarcis lilfordi (Lilford's wall lizard)
Lineage: Eukaryota; Metazoa; Chordata; Lepidosauria; Squamata; Lacertidae
Source: the annotation of a GenBank genome assembly
UCCUGGCUUAUUCAGAUAACUCGAUAGAGCAUGAGACUCUUAAUCUCAGGCUCGUGGGUUCGAGCCCCACAUUGGGCAAAA